GUGCUAUUGUUAAAAGAAUAUUGAGUUUUCUUAUAUAUCUACAAGAAGGCUAAUUGACCGUACAAAUUUACUUGUUUUCCUGUACACAAAGCAAGUGCUUCGGGCCCUGUAGAGGAGCCAAUGAGUUUGGUAAUACCAGUGAUGCCAGCCGAAAUGAGUUGGUAAUACCAGUGAUGCCAGCCGAAAGUGACGCUGAAAUUGAAGGUGAAGAAGUUCGUUUAAGGAUCUCAGGCGGUGAAAUGAAAGGAAUCACUGAAGCUCCACACUACAUAGAAAACGAAAAGGAUCCAGUCCUCAAGGAGUUGCGGAGCUUGAAUCCCCUGUCUUCCUGGCGGUGUAUCUAUAGAGUUCCUAAGCGACUACGGCAAGGAAAUGAGAAGGCAUAUACACCUCAAGUAGUCUCUAUAGGCCCACUUCACCAUGGCGAGGAACCCUUAAAAGGCAUGGAAGAGCACAAAAUUAAGGUACCUGCGAAGUUUUCUAGAUCGAACCGGGGUAAGCUU
Non-coding RNA from Malus domestica (apple), 503 nucleotides. Lineage: Eukaryota; Viridiplantae; Streptophyta; Magnoliopsida; Rosales; Rosaceae. The record is from RefSeq and is a predicted model, not a curated record.